This 253-nucleotide ribosomal RNA is filed under the name uncultured bacterium. Its description in RNAcentral is "partial 16S ribosomal RNA". It matches the Rfam family "Bacterial small subunit ribosomal RNA", at positions 524 to 776 of the family's 1533-position model. The record is from RNAcentral.
UACGGAGGGAGCUAGCGUUGUUCGGAAUUACUGGGCGUAAAGCGCACGUAGGCGGCUUUGUAAGUUAGAGGUGAAAGCCUGGGGCUCAACUCCAGAACUGCCUUUAAAACUGCAUCGCUUGAAUCCAGGAGAGGUGAGUGGAAUUCCGAGUGUAGAGGUGAAAUUCGUAGAUAUUCGGAAGAACACCAGUGGCGAAGGCGGCUCACUGGACUGGUAUUGACGCUGAGGAGCGAAAGUGUGGGGAGCGAACAGG